Molecule: ribosomal RNA, 198 nt
Filed under: uncultured bacterium
Lineage: Bacteria
Description: partial 16S ribosomal RNA
Rfam family: Bacterial small subunit ribosomal RNA
Source: RNAcentral
GUCUGCAACCCGACUCCGUGAAGCCGGAAUCGCUAGUAAUCGCGGAUCAGAAUGCCGCGGUGAAUACGUUCCCGGGCCUUGUACACACCGCCCGUCACACCAUGGGAGUCGGUAACACCCGAAGCCUGUAGUCUAACCGCAAGGAGGACGCAGUCGAAGGUGGGAUUGAUGACUGGGGUGAAGUCGUAACAAGGUACC